GAUUAACGCUAGCGGCAGGCAUAAUACAUGCAAGUUGAACGGCAGCACAGGUAGCAAUACUGGGUGGCGAGUGGCGCACGGGUGCGUAACACGUAUGCAACCUACCCUAUACAGGCGAAUAACCUUUAGAAAUGAGGGCUAAUACGCCGUAGUAUUACAGAUGGGCAUCUAUUUGUAAUUAAAGAUUUAUCGGUAUAGGAUGGGCAUGCGUCCCAUUAGUUAGUUGGUAAGGUAACGGCUUACCAAGACGAUGAUGGGUAGGGGAUCUGAGAGGACUUACCCCCACACCGGGACUGAGACACCGACCAGACUCCUACGGGAGGCAGCAGUAAGGAAUAUUGGGCAAUGGCCGCGAGGCUGACCCAGCCAUGCCGCGUGCAGGAAGACGGCCUUAUGGGUUGUAAACUGCUUUUAUACGGGAAUAAUAGAGUGUACGCGUACAUUUAUGCAAGUAUCGUAUGAAUAAGCAUCGGCUAACUCCGUG
RNAcentral lists this ribosomal RNA (484 nucleotides) under uncultured bacterium. RNAcentral describes it as "partial 16S ribosomal RNA". It matches the Rfam family "Bacterial small subunit ribosomal RNA", at positions 28 to 507 of the family's 1533-position model. The record is from RNAcentral.